This 468-nucleotide ribosomal RNA is filed under the name uncultured bacterium. RNAcentral describes it as "partial 16S ribosomal RNA". It matches the Rfam family "Bacterial small subunit ribosomal RNA", at positions 28 to 507 of the family's 1533-position model. The record is from RNAcentral.
GACGAACGCUGGCGGCGUGCUUAACACAUGCAAGUCGAACGGAAAGGCCCUGCUUUUGUGGGGUGCUCGAGUGGCGAACGGGUGAGUAACACGUGAGUAACCUGCCCUUGACUUUGGGAUAACUUCAGGAAACUGGGGCUAAUACCGGAUAGGAGCUCCUGCUGCAUGGUGGGGGUUGGAAAGUUUCGGCGGUUGGGGAUGGACUCGCGGCUUAUCAGCUUGUUGGUGGGGUAGUGGUUUACCAAGGCAUUGACGGGUAGCCGGCCUGAGAGGGUGACCGGCGACAUUGGGACUGAGAGACGGCCCAGACGCCUACGGGAGGCAGCAGUGGGGAAUAUUGCACAAUGGGCGGAAGCCUGAUGCAGCGACGCCGCGUGCGGGAUGACGGCCUUCGGGUUGUAAACCGCUUUCGCCUGUGACGAAGCGUGAGUGACGGUAAUGGGUAAAGAAGCACCGGCUAACUACGUG